Microcebus murinus (gray mouse lemur) is the source of this 2569-nucleotide non-coding RNA. Lineage: Eukaryota; Metazoa; Chordata; Mammalia; Primates; Cheirogaleidae. The record is from RefSeq and is a predicted model, not a curated record.
GACUGUGGUAAUCAUUUUACAAAGUGUAUGUCAAAACAUUAGUAUACGCAUCUUGAAUAUACAUCUAAUUUUUGUUCAUUAUCCUUCAAUAAAGCUGAAAAAAUCAUUAUAACAACAAAAAAAUUAGCAUGUUUUAUUUAACAGCUAAUAAACUUGGUUUACACCUCUGGAAUAUUGAGGCCUGUGGUGGCUGGUCCUCCCUUUUUAUUCAGAUAUGGGUGUUGGAGGUGACUAUGAGGAAAUUAUACACCUCUUCAGACCUCAGAACAAAUAUCCAUUUACUGUUAAUCAACCUUAAAAAGCAGUAGGAGGGAUCUGAUGUUGAUAUGUAGGCAGAACUGUAGCCAAUUUGAACCCAGAUCUGGGCUGUCCCUAUCCUCACCUGAGGCUUGUCUGAGGCCAUUUACCACUUUUGCUAGAGUCUCUUGGAAUGGCAAGGUCCUGCAAAUGUCCCCAGAAACACCACCCAUUUUCAGGGAGGGAAGUUGAGGCCACCUAAGGAGAGGAAGGUACUUGACCAACCAAGGAUAACAGACAGCCUGUGCCACCACAUGUGCCCGUGCCCCACAGGCUGUCCAUUCAUGACUAGGGCUGCAGCUUUCUGAACAGUCUUCUUCAUCCUUCUGAAUAGAAUUUGGGUGCCUGUCUCAUUAAGCCUUAAUUUUCUUAUUUGUGAAAUAGAGAUAAUUCCACCACCCUCCCAAGGCUAGUGACAGACUGUGACUCGCUCAGUCGUGGAGGACUGUCCUAUAGACCUGGACAUGCAGGCUCUUGCCGACUUGGGCCCAUCAUGACAUAGAAGCCUGCCCACCUACGCACCUGCCAUCCGAGCUCUCCUGGCUGUCUGGGAUUCCAGGCUAUGUCUGAGGACCUGUCUCUCACCUGACUGGAAGCAGUGCCAGGGCUAUUCCUAGGCUUGAUGUCUUCUUACCCUUCAGGACUUUGGUUCCUCCAGAGUCCUUUCUUCCUUUCGUGAUGUCCCCUUCCUUCCCCAAUGGAAAUCCCGCAGGGGAAGACAGACAGAGCCAUUCUCUGUUAACUGAAACCUCAAGGUGUUCCUCAGCCCUGUCACAGCUUCAAAUUGCUCUGGUCUGUGAAAUGGGAAGGACAGCUCCCCUGAUGGCGGUGGACAAGGUUUGGAGGGAAACCUGUGGCUGCUUGCAGGUGAAUUCAGAACCUGGUGUGUUAUGACCCUCAGCACAAUCAGUAGCACAGAUGCCUGGGGAACUGGCAUAUUGGGGGCUCAUUUCCCCAAUCCCAUUACCCACUUCUCCCAUCUCUGUUUAUAAUUAGGAGCACAUAAUAUGCUGUCAACAAAUGGUUGUUGAAUGAAUAAAUUGGCAGUGCCUGGAGUAGAAGGAACAAGCAUUGUGGGCUAGAGUCUGAGAGUCCUGAGUCUUGCUAUCCCACUCUAUAAAGUAGGUGUAGUACCUUUAUUCAAGGAGAUGGUGAGGAACUGGCCUGAGGAUCUCCUCUUCCCUCAUGGCUUAGGUGGGGCAUCACUGACUCCAGUAAACGCUCCUCAUCAGCCCCACUAAGUGCCCUAGUGGCCUAGGAGACCUGGUGGAUGAGCCUUGGGGUAUGUAUGUGCUUGGCUUGGUGUGCUUUCCUCAGAUCGGGUAAUUGUAUAAACAUAAGAUGCUUUUUGAUUUUCUCUUAAAAUAUUCUUGAUUUUAGCUUCUACUUAACAGAAAAGUGAAGUUUGUCAUCAUAAAAAUCUUUCCUAGCGGACAAAGUCCAGACGGUUCGAUUCCAAAAUGAUGACUGAGGGAAACAUGUCAGCCUCAUGGGGAUUUGUCUCGUUUUUAUUAUCUUUUUAAAUUAAAGGUGAUUUACUUGAGCUUGUAGCUCCAGUGAGCUGGAUAUUUGGGGAGAAAAGAAUUUCCAUCAAAAUGUUGUCUUUGUUAGGUGUCCUUUUUCAAGCUUGAUGCUUUGGGUAUUAGAAAUAAAACAGAAAAUCUGGCUUGGCCCUGUAUGAAAUUGAUAUGUUCAUGUUGAUUACUCACAUCCAGAAGGACAGGGAGCUCACUAACUGUCUUACGGAGCUAAACAGCUGUGCCCGUUCCUCAGCGCUGCCUUGUGCUGCCUGCCUCAGGCCAUCAUCACUGAGACGGUCAGGAUGCCUGGCACUGCGCCCAGUACACCCCACAGUGUACCUUUUCCCUUGGGGACCUGAGUGGGGCCCACGGCCACAGGUUUGAUGAUUGUAACCAUAGCAGCUAUGGAGUGUUUUGCUGUUGCCAAGCUCUGUUUGGAGCCCUCCACAUGGAUCAUCUCAGCUAAUCCUCCCAGCCACCCUAAAGGAAGGCAAUAGCCUUCUUCUCCUUCUUCAGAUGAGUAAGAAGGCACAGUGAGUGCAGUCUGAUUCAAGAAUCUUGGCUUUAGCAGGCAAAGGGCUUUGACUACAUCCAAAUACAGAUGUGCUCCCCAGCAGGAAAGCCCAGCAUUCAGACUGGAACUUCACCAUCAGCUUCACUGGGACUCCAGCUUGCCAAGUGUAGGUCUUGGGACCUGCAAGGCUCCAUAAUCACAUGAGCCAAUUCCCCUAUAAUAAAUCCCUUUGUAUCUA